Molecule: transfer RNA, 76 nt
Filed under: Caudoviricetes sp.
Lineage: Duplodnaviria; Heunggongvirae; Uroviricota; Caudoviricetes
Description: tRNA-Met
Rfam family: tRNA
About the family: Transfer RNA (tRNA) molecules are approximately 80 nucleotides in length. Their secondary structure includes four short double-helical elements and three loops (D, anti-codon, and T loops).
Source: RNAcentral
GCUCCAUUAGCUCAGUUGGUAGAGCACCUGGCUCAUAACCGGACGGCCCUGGGUUCAAGUCCCCGAUGGAGCACCA